UUAGCUAGCGCCCCGGGCAGGCCGGCCCAAUCCACACCAGGCUGUCUGUCCAACAUGUGUUAGUCUUCAUGCUGAGUGGACCUCUCCAUGGGGGAAGUCUGGGCAAGAAUGAUGAGAAUCAGAGCUACAAUCACUUCUGACAAGCCGGCUGCGGUGGUUCUCGGGGGCCAAGCCUGUCCAGCUGCUGCUUUACAAGACUGGAACAUCAAACAAUGAUUCCAUCUCGUCAGAGGAGCAGAUCAGUAGCCGGACAGCAAAUUGGAAAAGAAGCCUUCCUCCAUCCCUCAAAUGGAUUGCAAGGACAUCCUCAAAGAUAAAAGGAAAGAAAGGCAGACUUGAAUAAAGCAGCAUUUGUGUCAUUGUUUUACAACAUGGUGACAAUAAGAAUCCAACAAUGGCUUUUUAUGAUGUGUUUGAACCCAGUGCACCACCAGCGUGUUUGUGAGAAACUCUAUCACUCCAUCAUAAAACGGGAUAUGAACGGAAAAAGCGAAGAGAGCGAGCGAGGGAGCGAGCAUGGUUUCAACUGAUGUCUUCCAGUUGUGUGACCUCUCUUUCCUUUUUUUUUUUCCUGUCUCUCUGGCUUUAAUAAGGCCAGCUGUAGAGUCGGUCGGCCUCUCUGGGGGGAAGGAGUUGAGCGUGGCUGGAGC
This is a long non-coding RNA of Syngnathus typhle (broad-nosed pipefish), 650 nucleotides long. RefSeq lists it as uncharacterized. The transcript is spliced from 3 exons. NCBI's taxonomy places the organism in Eukaryota, Metazoa, Chordata, Actinopteri, Syngnathiformes, Syngnathidae. The record is from RefSeq and is a predicted model, not a curated record.